Molecule: ribosomal RNA, 288 nt
Filed under: Triticum aestivum (bread wheat)
Lineage: Eukaryota; Viridiplantae; Streptophyta; Magnoliopsida; Poales; Poaceae
Description: partial small subunit ribosomal RNA
Source: RNAcentral
AUGACAAAACCAAAGAGAAACGGAGGAAUUGGCUUUCGUGACAUGCACCUAUUCAAUCAAGCUCUGUUGGCAAGACAAGGGUGGAGGCUCCUGCAAAACCCUAACACCCUCUGUGCACGCGUCCUCAAGUCAAAAUAUUACCCACACGUCAGCUUACUUGACACGGUCUUCCCCUUGGACGCAUCCCAAGUGUGGCGAGGGAUAGAAUUUGUACUUGAGCUUCUAAAGGAAGGUCUGAUUUGGAGAGUUGGAAAUGGAAAAAGUAUCCAGAUUAAAAGAGAUCAUUGA